CGAUCUUCUCAGCCAUGUCCGUCAGCAGAGAGAAGGUGGGCUCCACGAUGAAAUCAAUGAACCCUGGUGCAGCACACAAAGUAUUCGAACCCUGCUCACUUACCAAUCUGGGACUGGGCUACCAGCGUGGUCUUGCGGUCACAGAGAGGAGAGAAAGGGAGCCCCAAUUCUGCCUCCUUGUCUCCCUAAAAAAAUGGACUCACUGCUGCCUCUUACCUCCAUUCCUCCCGGGAGAGGUUGAUGAAGAUGUUCCUCUCAUCGUCCUGCAUGAGCCGAA
This is a long non-coding RNA of Acipenser ruthenus (sterlet), 277 nucleotides long. RefSeq lists it as uncharacterized. Lineage: Eukaryota; Metazoa; Chordata; Actinopteri; Acipenseriformes; Acipenseridae. The transcript is spliced from 3 exons. The record is from RefSeq and is a predicted model, not a curated record.